Molecule: microRNA, 21 nt
Filed under: Ananas comosus (pineapple)
Lineage: Eukaryota; Viridiplantae; Streptophyta; Magnoliopsida; Poales; Bromeliaceae
Description: microRNA s0903_c119a
Source: RNAcentral
ACUUAGUAGAUAUGAUGCAUU